CAAGUCGAGCGCUCGUAGCAAUACGGGAGCGGCGAACGGCGUAGGAAUUCAUAGGGAACGUACCCUUCCAGGACGGGGAUAGCUACGGGAAACUGUAGGUAAUACCCGAAUGAUCUCCGCGGAGCAAAGGUGUGAUUCCGCCUGAGGAGCGGCUUAUGCGAUAUUAGCUAGUUGGCGAGGUAAUGGCUCACCAAGGGCGAAGAUGUCUAGGGGGUGUGAGAGCAUGGCCCCCCACGACCGGAACUGAGAUACUGUCCGGACACCUACGGGUGGCUGCAGUCGAGAAUCUUCCGCAAUGGACGAAAGUCUGACGGAGCGACGCCGCGUGCGGGAUGAAGGCCCUUGGGUUGUAAACCGCUGUCAGUUGGGAGGAAAUGCUGGGGGGUUCUCCCCUCAGUUUGACCGAUCUUCAGAGGAAGGACGGGCUAAGUUCGUGCCAGCAGCCGCGGUAAGACGAACCGUCCAAACGUUAUUCGGUAUCACUGGGCUUAAAGCGUGCGUAGGCGGCCUGGUAGGUGAGGUGUGAAAUCCCACGGCUCAACCGUGGAACUGCGCUUCAAACCACUAGGCUCGAGGAUGGCAGGGGUGAUGGGAACUGAUGGUGGAGCGGUGAAAUGCGUUGAUAUCAUCAGGAACACCGGUGGCGAAGGCGCAUCACUGGGCCAUUUCUGACGCUGAGGCACGAAAGCUAGGGUAGCGAACGGGAUUAGAUACCCCGGUAGUCCUAGCCGUAAACGAUGAGCACUAGGUCGAGGGGACCUCCACAU
Molecule: ribosomal RNA, 767 nt
Filed under: uncultured organism
Description: bacterial SSU rRNA
Rfam family: Bacterial small subunit ribosomal RNA
Source: RNAcentral